RNAcentral lists this ribosomal RNA (941 nucleotides) under uncultured archaeon. Its description in RNAcentral is "bacterial SSU rRNA". It matches the Rfam family "Archaeal small subunit ribosomal RNA", at positions 7 to 922 of the family's 1478-position model. The record is from RNAcentral.
GUUGAUCCUGCCGGACCCCCACUGCUAUCGGGAUAGGACUAAGACAUGCUAGUUGAGCGCUUCCAGCCAACACGGGAGCGCAGCGCACAGCUCAGUAACACGUGGCUAAUCUGCCCUUGGGAUAGGAACAUCCCCGGGAAACUGGGGCUAAUUCCCAAUAGGCGAAGAACUCUGGAAUGAGUCUUCACCAGAAAAGACGUUUACGUUAUGCUCGUAGGCGUCGCCCAAGGAUGAGGCCGCGACCGAUCAGGUUGUUGGUGAGGUAAUGGCUCACCAAGCCUUUUACCGGUGCGGGCCGUGAGAGCGGGAGCCCGGAGAUGGGCACUGAGACAAGGGCCCAGGCCCUACGGGGCGCAGCAGUCGCGAAAACUUUGCAAUACACGAAAGUGUGACAGGGCUAUCCCGAGUGCCAUCCGCUGAGGAAGGCUUUUACCCAGUCUAGAACGCUGGGGGAAUAAGGAGAGGGCAAGUCUGGUGUCAGCCGCCGCGGUAAUACCAGCUCUUCGAGUGGUGUGGAUGUUUAUUGGGCCUAAAGCAUCCGUAGCUGGCUGAGUUAGUCCCCUGUUAAAUCCACCGAAUUAAUCGUUGGAUUGCGGGGGAUACUGCUCGGCUAGGGGACGAGAGAGGCAGACGGUAUUUCCGGGGUAGGGGUGAAAUCCUAUAAUCCCGGGAAGACCACCAGUGGCGAAGGCUGUCUGCUAGAACGCGCCCGACGGUGAGGGAUGAAAGCUGGGGGAGCGAACCGGAUUAGAUACCCGGGUAGUCCCAGCUGUAAACGAUGCAGGCUAGGUGUUUGGACGGCCACGUGCCGUUCUAGUGCCGCAGGGAAGCUGUUAAGCCUGCCGCCUGGGGAGUACGAUCGCAAGAUUGAAACUUAAAGGAAUUGGCGGGGGAGCACCACAAGGGGUGAAGCUUGCGGUUUAAUUGGAUUCAACGCCGGG